CGUAGGCGGGAUGGCAAGUCGGUCGUGAAAUCCUUCGGCUCAACCGAAGAACGUCGGCCGAUACUGCCGUUCUUGAGGGAUGCAGAGGAGAUUGGAAUUCCCGGUGUAGCGGUGAAAUGUGUAGAGAUCGGGAGGAACACCGGUGGCGAAGGCGGGUCUCUGGGCAUCUCCUGACGCUGAGGCGCGAAAGCGUGGGGAGCAAACG
This 205-nucleotide ribosomal RNA is filed under the name uncultured bacterium. Its description in RNAcentral is "partial 16S ribosomal RNA". It matches the Rfam family "Bacterial small subunit ribosomal RNA", at positions 570 to 774 of the family's 1533-position model. The record is from RNAcentral.